RNAcentral lists this ribosomal RNA (253 nucleotides) under uncultured bacterium. RNAcentral's name for it is "partial 16S ribosomal RNA". It matches the Rfam family "Bacterial small subunit ribosomal RNA", at positions 524 to 776 of the family's 1533-position model. The record is from RNAcentral.
UACGAAGGGUGCAAGCGUUAUUCGGAGUUACUGGGCGUAAAGAGCGCGUAGGCGGUCUGUUAAGUCAACUGUUAAAUCUCCCGGCUUAACCGGGAAUCAGCAGUUGAUACUGGCAGACUAGAGUAUGAGAGAGAGAAGUGGAAUUCUCGGAGUAGCGGUAAAAUGCGUAGAUCUCGAGAGGAACACCGGAGGCGAAGGCGGCUUCUUGGCUCAUUACUGACGCUCAAGUGCGAAAGCGUGGGGAGCAAACAGG